AGUUACUUUUAUACACGUUUUUAUUUUAACUAGAUGAGUACCCGCACGUAGUGCGGGUUUACGUAUUACUAUUUACAAAUUAUUUUAUAUAAUAUCUGUUUAUAUAAAGUAAAGUUAAAUGCAUCGGUAUUGAAACAUAAAUAUGAUUUAGAAUUGUUUUUGAAAAGUCCAACUAUAUUAGUUCAUCUGAAAAACGAAUGUACUUGAGUUGUUUUUUAUUGUUGUUUUAGAUUCUCAGUUUUUUUUUUGAAUUUAUAUAUCCUUGUUUUUUUGUUAUAUGUAUAGAUUAUGAGACGGUGAAAUUUUAGAAAAUUUAUUUCUUACACUAAAAAUAUAACAUGUCUUUAUUAACCAUGUCUCUGCAUAUUCAAUCUAAGCAUAUUCAACUUGAUAUUCUUAGAAAGUUUAGUUAAGUUCUUGUCAUAAUCUUAUAUUUUACGUAUUAGUUAUAAGGAUAGUUUUUCAAACAUCUUUCAAAUUACUUGUUUUCUUAGCAUAAAUCUCGAAAAGCUUAUAUAUAUUUAAUCUGCAUAUUCAUUUAUUUUUUUUCAUAAUAAUCGUCUAAUUUUUAGGCAAGAAAUAUGUGUAACAUGUUUGGAUUUUAUCAUCACUUUAGCCACUUAAGUGGAUCUCAAAAUUAAAAAAAAUAUAUAUUGAAUUAAAAAUGUAAAAAAAGUGAUGGUUCAAGUUCUCAUUAAUUAUAUCCUCCUAUUUUAAUUGUUAUGUUGAAUUAAUUACUAAUUAUGUAUUACUUAUUUUAUGAAGUCUAGGUGGCAAGCUCUCAUGUGCUGAUAUGUCAAGUUGUGGGAGAGAGUUAGCCUUCUUUCAUAUAUAUGAUUAAGAGUUUUAAAUUCACGACUGCGUCCAUAUCUUUAGAUAAGUGUGCUCUAUCUAGUUUAAUUUCCAGUUUCUUGCCGUAUUGUUUGGGAUUUUAUUCGCUCGGAUUACUUCUACUGGCUCGAUUAGUGCUUUGUUUUGACCUAUGUUGACUUUAAUUCUAUACUAUUAUAUUCUUGUUGCUAUUUCUAGCUUAGAACUUCUGGAUUGCAAUGCUAAUUAAUCACGGCGCAAUGUUUUAUACUAUGAGUCUCAUAAUUUUGCUUUGAUUAU
Molecule: small RNA, 1110 nt
Filed under: Arabidopsis thaliana (thale cress)
Lineage: Eukaryota; Viridiplantae; Streptophyta; Magnoliopsida; Brassicales; Brassicaceae
Description: ATSL002550
Source: RNAcentral